GGAGGGGUGGCCGAGCGGUUUAAGGCACCGGUCUUGAAAACCGGCGAAGGGGAAACUCUUCCGUGGGUUCGAAUCCCACCCCCUCCGCCA
Molecule: transfer RNA, 90 nt
Filed under: Candidatus Pelagibacter sp.
Lineage: Bacteria; Pseudomonadati; Pseudomonadota; Alphaproteobacteria; Candidatus Pelagibacterales; Candidatus Pelagibacteraceae
Also listed under: 1 other name
Description: tRNA-Ser
Rfam family: tRNA
About the family: Transfer RNA (tRNA) molecules are approximately 80 nucleotides in length. Their secondary structure includes four short double-helical elements and three loops (D, anti-codon, and T loops). Further hydrogen bonds mediate the characteristic L-shaped molecular structure. tRNAs have two regions of fundamental functional importance: the anti-codon, which is responsible for specific mRNA codon recognition, and the 3' end, to which the tRNAs corresponding amino acid is attached (by aminoacyl-tRNA synthetases). tRNAs cope with the degeneracy of the genetic code in two manners: having more than one tRNA (with a specific anti-codon) for a particular amino acid; and 'wobble' base-pairing, i.e. permitting non-standard base-pairing at the 3rd anti-codon position.
Source: RNAcentral